This 699-nucleotide long non-coding RNA is filed under the name Helianthus annuus (common sunflower). Lineage: Eukaryota; Viridiplantae; Streptophyta; Magnoliopsida; Asterales; Asteraceae. The record is from RNAcentral.
UUGGUUCUUUAGUCACAUGCAGCCUAAAAUCUUUGUGUCAAAAACAUAUCACGUGAGUCUGAUUCAUGAUGAAGCUGAUUGUACCACAAAGUAAUGAUGAACUAAUAUUAGGCCGAUAACAUUGAUCAGAUUCAUCACGAUCUCAUCAAUUCACAACUAAUAGAUCCACUUUUCAACACAAUCGAACAUGGCCGGAGGUUUUGUCACUCGAGCAUUUGAAUCAAUGCUCAAAGAAUCUUACGGAAAGAUCACUUCAGACCGCAAUCCAGUCGUAUUUAGUUUUGCUCUGAGAGGAGUGCUUUCUUCUCGUUCUCCGUCAUGAAUGAAUGAUUCGGUGGAAUUGGAGAGUGGUAACCUCAGAGAGGGCAAGACGGAGAGAUGCGAAAAGAGAUGAAAAGCUGUCGGAAAUGGCGACGGAGUUCCUCUCGACCACCUCAACUGCUCUCAGAAUCUCCGUUUGACUGAUAACUGAUCCUCUGUUUCUUUGGUGAUUGGAUCGGUGUUAUCUUCAAGGUUUUGAUGAUCUUGUUCGUUGUGUUGCUGAGAAAUUUGGUGGUUGUUAUCUAGGGUUUCUGAAUUCAUUGCUUCCAUUCGUCUCAGUUUGUUCGUUUGCUGGCUUCGGUUUGAUUGAAUACUGGAUCUGGGAUAAGAUUUUUUAUCGGAGAUGAUCUCCAUUGAUGGGUUUGAGCAGAAGUUGGG